AAAGCGUGCGCAGGCGGUUUGUAAGACUGUCGUGAAAUCCCCGGGCUCAACCUGGGAAUGGCGAUGGUGACUGCAAGGCUAGAGUUUGGCAGAGGGGGGUAGGAAUUCCACGUGUAGCAGUGAAAUGCGUAGAUAUGUGGAGGAACACCGAUGGCGAAGGCAGCCCCCUGGGUCAAAACUGACGCUCAUGCACGAAAGCGUGGGGAGCAAACAGGAUUAGAUACCCCAGU
RNAcentral lists this ribosomal RNA (230 nucleotides) under uncultured bacterium. RNAcentral's name for it is "partial 16S ribosomal RNA". It matches the Rfam family "Bacterial small subunit ribosomal RNA", at positions 562 to 791 of the family's 1533-position model. The record is from RNAcentral.